AUUGAACGCUGGCGGCAUGCCUUACACAUGCCAGUCGAACGGCAGCACGGGUGCUUGCACCUGGUGGCGAGUGGCGAACGGGUGAGUAAUACAUCGGAACAUGUCCUGUAGUGGGGGAUAGCCCGGCGAAAGCCGGAUUAAUACCGCAUACGAUCUACGGAUGAAAGCGGGGGACCUUGGGGCCUCGCGCUAUAGGGUUGGCCGAUGGCUGAUUAGCUAGUUGGUGGGGUAAAGGCCUACCAAGGCGACGAUCAGUAGCUGGUCUGAGAGGACGACCAGCCACACUGGGACUGAGACACGGCCCAGACUCCUACGGGAGGCAGCAGUGGGGAAUUUUGGACAAUGGGCGAAAGCCUGAUCCAGCAAUGCCGCGUGUGUGAAGAAGGCCUUCGGGUUGUAAAGCACUUUUGUCCGGAAAGAAAUCCUUGGCUCUAAUACAGUCGGGGGAUGACGGUACCGGAAGAAUAAGCACCGGCUAACUACGUG
This 486-nucleotide ribosomal RNA is filed under the name uncultured bacterium. Its description in RNAcentral is "partial 16S ribosomal RNA". It matches the Rfam family "Bacterial small subunit ribosomal RNA", at positions 30 to 507 of the family's 1533-position model. The record is from RNAcentral.